GGUGUACGUGAUAAAGUGUACAGUCAAUAAAUCCUAUAUCAUUCUCACUUUUAGACCACAAUGUCAUAUUCUGGUAUUCAGCUGGCAAUGUAACUGCAGAAAUAGUACAGUGGAUAGGAUAGGUUAGAUCUAUGUGACGACAUGGUGUAGUUAUAUCAUAACCUAUGUCUGAGUUAUGUGACAAAAUCACUGUUUGACCUUCACUUGUGUGAGCAGUUAUCAUGUUGUUGAACAGUGUGAGAGAAACAAAAGUGUGGCUCCCAGUCAUGGGAUUACCUGUUAGUGGCGUCUGUACACGUUUUUUUUUUUUUUUUUUUUGGCACAGUGUGUGACAUAGAGUACCGGACAAAAAGGAUGUUGAGUUCAUUCUCUGCUGAGGGUCCAGCUGACACAGAGGAUGUUCCUUCUCCAUCGUCGGUACAUAGGGCAGAGAAAACAUAAGCUGUUAUCAGUGUCAGCAAACAUUUCACCCUUUGUGUUAAAUUAAAUACACAAAUUCAUUUUUGCUUUGGGUGUCUGCGGCUGCUGGAAAACUGAGCUAAAUUUGCACCUCUAGCUUGUCCAACAGUGCAUAAAGCGUUUUAUGAAUACUAGGAUGGAUUCAUCAGGCUUCUGUUUACACAUAGUUACUGCAUUUAAGUCACUUUUGUCUCUGGACAUUGUUAGCAGGAAUUUCUUUAGAUUCUUAAAGAAAUCGGCGACUUUGUCAUUAUUUACCCUCCUUUUGUCCAUAGCGGUAACAUUUGAUGCAUCACGUCGCGGCAUUCUAUCAUAUAUUUUCUACAGGACUUUUUAAGCAGACUACUUUUCUUAUCACAAAUGAUAUUCAACAUUUCUACUGACCUGUUUUCUGGCGAUAAUCGUUCGGGAUAAGGCUCCGGAAAUAAAUUAGAAUGCAUUGAACUUCUUAAGUUGUAAACAAAGUCAGUCACAUAAGCACUCCCGCAUGUUCUGGAUACGUGAUCAUGGACGUCUUCACCGAUUCGCGGACGUAGGUUACACGUAACCGGAAAUGGGAGUUAUACUGAGCCGUUAUUUGAGACUUUAUUUUGUAUUUUAUUAAUUUUUGGUUUUACAGGUACUUUAGAUUUUUUAUCGGACCUGUCUGUGGUCUUUGAAUAAUUCUGACUCAUGUUCAGUGAUUUCCAGAGGGGUUUACACGCUAGGAGGAUUUAUGUUAGUAUUUUCGCUGCGGCACAGCUGAGGUCACUUUAAAUUUAUUGCUAGCAAUUUUUGUUUGGGUGAGCAACUCUCACUUAGCGAGCAACUCCUCGCAAAACAACAGGCAACUCCCUGUGUCUUUCUGCUUUUAAUUUACUGCUUUUAACCCUUGAGACCCGUGUUUUGUUUUUUUUUGUUUUUUUUUAAAGAAAAAUUAAACAAUUAAUUAUUAUUAUUAUUUUU
Long non-coding RNA from Astatotilapia calliptera (eastern happy), 1404 nucleotides. Lineage: Eukaryota; Metazoa; Chordata; Actinopteri; Cichliformes; Cichlidae. The record is from Ensembl.